ACGAACGCUGGCGGCAUGCCUAACACAUGCAAGUCGAACGGAUGUAGCAAUACAUCAGUGGCGGACGGGUGAGUAACGCGUGGGAACCUACCUGGAAGUGAGGAAUAACCGAGGGAAACUUCGGCUAAUACCGCAUAUGCCCUGCGGGGCAAAGGCUUCGGCCGCUACCAGAGGGGCCCGCGUCCGAUUAGCUAGUUGGUGGGGUAACGGCCUACCAAGGCAGUGAUCGGUAGCUGGUCUGAGAGGACGAUCAGCCACACUGGGACUGAGACACGGCCCAGACUCCUACGGGAGGCAGCAGUGGGGAAUAUUGGACAAUGGGGGAAACCCUGAUCCAGCGAUGCCGCGUGAGUGAUGAAGGCCUUAGGGUUGUAAAGCUCUUUCGCCCACGACGAUGAUGACGGUAGUGGGAGAAGAAGCCCCGGCUAACUUCGUGCCAGCCGCCGCGGUAAU
RNAcentral lists this ribosomal RNA (453 nucleotides) under uncultured bacterium. RNAcentral's name for it is "bacterial SSU rRNA". It matches the Rfam family "Bacterial small subunit ribosomal RNA", at positions 29 to 524 of the family's 1533-position model. The record is from RNAcentral.